GUCUAUAGCCAUAGUGCCCUGAAUGCGCCUGAUCUCAUCUAAUCUUGGAAGAUAAGCAGGGUCAGGCCUGGUUAGUAUUUGGAUGGGAGAGUCA
RNAcentral lists this ribosomal RNA (94 nucleotides) under Microcebus murinus (gray mouse lemur). The record is from RNAcentral. Lineage: Eukaryota; Metazoa; Chordata; Mammalia; Primates; Cheirogaleidae.